RNAcentral lists this ribosomal RNA (894 nucleotides) under uncultured Staphylococcus sp. RNAcentral's name for it is "bacterial SSU rRNA". It matches the Rfam family "Bacterial small subunit ribosomal RNA", at positions 505 to 1398 of the family's 1533-position model. Lineage: Bacteria; Bacillati; Bacillota; Bacilli; Caryophanales; Staphylococcaceae. The record is from RNAcentral.
GUGCCAGCCGCCGCGGCAAUACGUAGGUGGCAAGCGUUAUCCGGAAUUAUUGGGCGUAAAGCGCGCGUAGGCGGUUUUUUUAAGUCUBAUGUGAAAGCCCACGGCUCAACCGUGGAGGGUCAUUGGAAACUGAAAAACUUGAGUGCAGAAGAGGAAAGUGGAAUUCCAUGUGUAGCGGUGAAAUGCGCAGAGAUAUGGAGGAACACCAGUGGCGAAGGCGACUUUCUGGUCUGUAACUGACGCUGAUGUGCGAAAGCGUGGGGAUCAAACAGGAUUAGAUACCCUGGUAGUCCACGCCGUAAACGAUGAGUGCUAAGUGUUAGGGGGUUUCCGCCCCUUAGUGCUGCAGCUAACGCAUUAAGCACUCCGCCUGGGGAGUACGGCCGCAAGGCUUAAACUCAAAGGAAUUGACGGGGACCCGCACAAGCGGUGGAGCAUGUGGUUUAAUUCGAAGCAACGCGAAGAACCUUACCAAAUCUUGACAUCCUUUGACAGCUCUAGAGAUAGAGUCUUCCCCUUCGGGGGACAAAGUGACAGGUGGUGCAUGGUUGUCGUCAGCUCGUGUCGUGAGAUGUUGGGUUAAGUCCCGCAACGAGCGCAACCCUUAAGCUUAGUUGCCAUCAUUCAGUUGGGCACUCUAAGUUGACUGCCGGUGACAAACCGGAGGAAGGUGGGGAUGACGUMAAAUCAUCAUGCCCCUUAUGAUUUGGGCUACACACGKGCUACAAUGGRCAAUACAAAGGGCAGCGAAACCGCGAGGUCAAGCAAAUCCCAUAAAGUUGUUCUCAGUUCGGAUUGUAGUCUGCAACUCGACUACAUGAAGCUGGAAUCGCUAGUAAUCGUAGAUCAGCAUGCUACGGUGAAUACGUUCCCGGUCUUGUACACACCCCCGUC